RNAcentral lists this ribosomal RNA (459 nucleotides) under uncultured bacterium. RNAcentral describes it as "partial 16S ribosomal RNA". It matches the Rfam family "Bacterial small subunit ribosomal RNA", at positions 338 to 795 of the family's 1533-position model. The record is from RNAcentral.
CCUACGGGAGGCAGCAGUGAGGAAUAUUGGUCAAUGGCCGGAAGGCUGAACCAGCCAAGCCGCGUGAAGGACGAAGGUGCCAAGCAUUGUAAACUUCUUUUGUCAAGGGACAAAAUCAGGCUCGAGAGCCUGACCGUGGGUACUUGAAGAAAAAGCAUCGGCUAACUCCGUGCCAGCGGCCGCGGUAAUACGGAGGAUGGAGGCGUUAGCGGGAUUUAUUGGGUUAAAGGUGUCCGUAGGCGAAAUGUUAAGUCAGCGGUAAAAGCCCGGGGCUCACCUCCGGCGAGCCGUUGAAACUGGCUGUCUUGAGAUGUCGAGAGGUAUGCGGAAUGCGCAGUGUAGCGGUGAAAUGCUUAGAUAUUGCGCAGAACUCCGAUUGCGAAGGCAGCAUACCGGCGGCGAUCUGACGCUGAGGCACGAAAGCGUGGGUAUCGAACAGGAUUAGAUACCCCUGUAGUC